AAUAACUAUAGCAAUAGUUUUCCACGUCCAACUUUAAUCAUUCGUCUUAUUUAAAAAAAAUAGUCACGAGUAAAGUACUAUUCAUGUUUUAUCAUCUUAUAACAACAAAAAUACUAAUUAUAAAAAAAUUUCAAAUAAGACGAACGAUUAAAGUUGGACGCAGAAACUCAUAGCUGCACUUAAU
Molecule: microRNA precursor, 184 nt
Filed under: Oryza sativa Indica Group (long-grained rice)
Lineage: Eukaryota; Viridiplantae; Streptophyta; Magnoliopsida; Poales; Poaceae
Description: MIR812 microRNA precursor family
Rfam family: MIR812 microRNA precursor family
Source: Rfam by way of RNAcentral